GAAGGUCAUAGAUUCAGAUGCCUACAGUGAAAGAUUUGAGCCUCCUGACGUCAGCCCAGCGAGAGAAAUAAAGAGCAAUGGGUUAUAAUAGAAAGGGAAAGAGAAGAACGAGAGGUGAACUGAAAAUGGGGGAAAGAGUGAAAGUUUAAAGAUGAAAACCCUCGACUUGUAUGGAUUCAAAAGUCUGUAAUGAAAGACUUAUGUAUCCUGACGUCAGCCCAGAGAGAGAAAUAAAGAGCAUUGAAUUACAUCAUAGAGAAAGAAGAGAAGGGAACGAAAUAUGAAGUGGAAAAGAAUGAGGAAUGAAAAUAUAAACAUGAGAACCGUCGACUUGCACAGAUUCAAAUGCCUCCAGAGAAAGAUUUAAGCUCAGAGAGAGAAAUAAAGAGCAUUGAAUCAUAACAUUGAGAAGGAAGAGAGAGCAACAAAACAUGAACUGGAAAAGGAUGAGGAAUGAAAAUAUAAAGAUGAGAACCGUCGACUUGCACAGAUUCAAAUGCCCACAGCGAAAAAUUUAAUAAGCCUCCUGACUUCAGCCCAGCGAGAGAAAUUACGACAGUGCAUUAUGAUAUAGACGAAAGAGAGAGAGAGAAGAGAACGAGAGGUGAGGUGAAAAGUACGUAGACUAUAGUUUAAAGGUAUUGUGAUGCAUUACACGACUCUUAGCUGAUAUGUGUUGUGUGUGGUAGCUAACUGGCUGCCUGGAUGGAAGGAGGGUUCGAACUGGAGUGUUUAUUGUAUAUUGGAUGACGCAGAAACAGCACCAAAUAGAAAAAUAUAGAUAGUAAGUAAAGUAAAGUUGGGAGCGUACACUAGAGCUGCGCGUGGCCUCAGUGCCCAUCUCCGAAUAAAUAGAUAGAUAGAUAGAUAGAUAGUGAAAAAGUUUAAAUGAGUCAAGGAGGAAAAGAAGAAUUGUGAGAAAAAAUUAAGCUGGAAAGAUAAAUUAAAAAGUUAGAGAGGAGGAAGGGAUGAAAGAGAGAAGGUGAGAGAAAUAGAUAGACAGAUAAAAAUAGAAAGAUAGAUAAACACAUAAUAAAUCAAGAAGGAAAAGAGAAAGUGCGAGAAAAAUCAGGCUGGAAAGAAAGAUUAAAAAGUUAGAAAGGAGGAAGGGAUGAAAAAGUGAGAGCAAGUGGUCGAUACAUAGAUAGAUAAAUAAAAUAAAUAAAAAAGCAGAAGAUUGUGGGAAAAAAAUUAAGCUGGAAAGAAAAAUAAAAAGUUAGUUAGAGAGGAGGAAGGGAUGCAGAGAUGAGAUGGAUAGACAGAUAGAUAGAGAAACAGACACACACACACACACACACACACACACACACACACACACACACACACACACACACACACACACACACACACACAGAGAAAGAGAGCAAGCAAGCGAGCACAUCAGGGCCUAAUGACAGAAGAGAGAGAGAGAGAGAGGAGAGAGGAGAGCAGGAAUCCAGAGUAGCAUUUUUUGAGUGAACAAUGAUGCGCUUUUCCGGAUGAACUUGGACGCAUAAAAGAGAUGCAGUUUCGUACGAGGUUCUUUUUUUAGGGUCAGACUGAGAGCUUUGGGGAAGGACACGCGACUGAACCCCAAAGACAAAGCAAGGACAAGACGAAACAAGGACAAGACGAGACAAGGACAAGCGACUGAGCCCGAAAGACGAGAGGGAACGAAAAAAAAAGUGUCCGUUAAUGUGCCAGUGAUAACGAAAAAGAGAAAGAGAAAGAGCGAGAGCGAGAGCGAGAGAGAGAGAGAGAGAGAGAGAGAGAGAGAGAGAGAGAGAGAGAGAGAGAGAGAGAGAGAGAGAGAGAGAGAGAGAGAGAGAGAGAGAGAGAGAGAGAGAGAGAGA
This is a long non-coding RNA of Eriocheir sinensis (Chinese mitten crab), 1832 nucleotides long. RefSeq lists it as uncharacterized. Lineage: Eukaryota; Metazoa; Arthropoda; Malacostraca; Decapoda; Varunidae. The record is from RefSeq and is a predicted model, not a curated record. The transcript is spliced from 2 exons.